Non-coding RNA from Podarcis lilfordi (Lilford's wall lizard), 64 nucleotides. Lineage: Eukaryota; Metazoa; Chordata; Lepidosauria; Squamata; Lacertidae. The record is from the annotation of a GenBank genome assembly.
GGAGACCUGUGGCUCAGCGGCAGAGCCACGCAGAAGGUCCCAGGUUCAAUCCCCAGUGUCUCCA